AGAUAGAGAGAGAGAGGGAGAGAGAGAGAGAGAGAGGGAGAGGGAGAUACGGGGUCUUUCAAGGGGAACUACAGCUCGUCCCUCGGUCUCUGAGCUUUAUAUCGGAUUUUUCUGUGUCCAGAGGAGCGCGGUGCUGAAAACUUGAGCGGAUUAGAAGGAUGAGGUAGGACUGUCGGGACCUCUGUUGGGACAGAGAACAUCAAAGUGCGACCGUGCAUGAGAGUGUGAGAGAGUUCCAGUACUUCUGAAGAAAGGGAGGGGUUCAACACCAGGUGUCCACCCCUCCAGGGUGAACUCGACUUGCUUGUUAUGAUGAGUCGCGAUGUGGCGUGGCUGUCCUGCGUACAGCUGCUGUGUGGCAUGUUGUCCAGCCUGUGGGCGUAUCCCUUCAGACCACCACUGGACCUGGAUGUCACUCCUAGGACCACUGUUUUCUCCAAAGGGCUGUGGGGGUGCAGGCGCUUCAGUGGAUCUACGUUGAACUACAGUACGCUCCUGCUGGAGGAAGAAGCUGGAGUGCUGUAUGUUGGAGCCAGAGGGGCUCUGUAUGCCCUGCAAGCUGCUAAUAUCUCCAGCUCCAGUCACACUAUCGACUGGGAGGCACCAGAAGACCAGAAGCAGCUCUGCUUAAACAAAGGGAAAGAUAACAAGACAGAGUGUUUCAAUCACAUCCGUUUCCUGCAGAGAUUCAACACCACCCACUUAUACACAUGCGGGACUCACGCAUUCAGCCCACUCUGUGCAUAUAUCGAUGAUCGGGAGUUUAAGAUUUCAUCUGUGUUUGAAGAGGGUCGGGAGCGGUGCCCAUAUGAUCCUGCGAAAGGAUACACUGGCCUGCUUGUUGAUGGGCAAAUGUACACAGCAUCUCAGUAUGAGUUCUGGAGCUCUCCAGACAUUCGCCGGAACUCGCCAAACCCCAUGCUGAGGACGGAGGAGGCCCCAACUCGCUGGCUUUACGAAGCUGAUUUUGUGGGCUCUGCGCUGGUGAAGGAGAGUGUGAACAGCUCUGUGGGAGACGACGAUAAGAUCUAUUUCUUCUUCACGGAGAAGAGCCAGGAGCACAGCCCGUACUUCAGUCAUAGCAGGGUGGCCCGCGUGGCCCGCGUCUGUAAGAGUGACAGAGGAGGUUACCUGACCCUGCAGAAGAAGUGGACGUCCUUCCUGAAGGCCCGGCUGGUGUGUUCUCUGCCUGACUACGAGUUCCACUUUAAUGUGUUGCGCAGUGUGUUUAUGCUGGAAGGUCUCAAGGUUCAGGACACUGUGCUCUACGGCAUCUUUGGGCUGGAGUGGAAAAGCGUGAAAGCUUCUGCCAUCUGCCGCUACUCCAUCAGCGAUAUCCAGCAGGCUUUUGACGGACCCUACAUGGAGAGUCAGGAGGACGCCACUGCCAAAUGGACAGAGUACACCGGGAAGGUGCCUGAGCCACGGCCCGGCUCGUGCAUCACAGACCGGCUCAGGUCCAGAGGCAUCAAUUUCUCCACUGACCUGCCUGAUGAUGUGCUGCACUUUGUCCGCCGUCACCCUCUUAUGGCCAGGCAGGUGCUCCCAGUGGGAGGACGCCCCCUACUGUUUAAGAGGUCCAUGGACUACACCAAGAUAGCUGUUCACAAAGUGACCGCUCUGGAUGGACAGACGUACCACAUGUUGUUCAUCGGAACAGAUGAGGGCUGGCUCCAGAGAGCAGUGGAGGUUAAAGGUCAGCUCCACAUCAUUGAAGAAUUGCAAUUGUUUGAGGAGCCGCAGCCUGUGGACAGUAUAGUCAUCUCUGAGAAACAGAUGAGUGUGUACGUGGGUACUCCUUCCACAGUCGUGCAGCUGCCCCUGUCCACGUGUCAUAAGUAUUCCUCCUGUUUUGACUGUGUGUUAGCACGGGACCCUUUCUGUGCCUGGGAUGGAGUGGAAUGUGUGGAGAUUACCUCACAAACUGACAGAUCCAAUCUGACUCAAGACAUCCUGAAUGGGAAUGAGGGCUGUGAGAACGCUGCAGCAGAUGACCUGGUGCUCCAUCGUGCACGCUCAGUGAUGGCAGGAGAUGAUGUGCUGCUGCAGUGCGAGCUCAGCUCCAAUCUGGCUGUCCCACAGUGGACACUACAUGGACAGGAGCUGCAAGGAUACGGGCUCAACUCCGGCUACCGCGUCGGCACCGACGGCCUGCUGGUCAUCGAGGCUCGACCGGAGCAAAGCGGCGACUACAGCUGCUUCGCAUUGGAGAACGGCAUCCGCGUUCCUGUGGUGAUCUACACUUUGACUGUGCGUCAUGACCUGCCUCCUGUACCACCAGUAGAGGUGACUCGCCCACCUCACAUAAGUGGUGCCACCCACCGUACCACUCAAACACACAACAAGAGCAAUCAGGACCUGACCCUGCACCCUGCUCCCGCACCGCAGCCUCCACAACUGGAGUUCCUGUCCUUGAGGAACAUGGAGGCCAUGUACCUUUCUCUGAUCACCAUUCUUGGCGGACUCUGCCUCGUCUUGACGGUGGUCCUGCUGUAUGUCGGGUUCUGUGUGCAGAGCAGAAGGGGGAAAUACUCUCUACGGGCUGCAGCUCAGGCUGAGAGGAAGAGAAGCAGCCACAUGGAGCUAAAGACCAUCUCAAGCCACUGCAAUGGCAAAACGGAUGCACAUGAAGGUCUGCUACAGAUCGUACCUGGAGAAGCACAGGCAUCUCCAAACAAAGACCUUCCUCCGGCACCCCCGCUGCCCCCACCUCCGCCAAACUCGGAAUUUGAAUACACCAAUGGCCUCUCAGCCACCUUGCCAAGCGUCCUACGCAAAAUGAAUGGCAACAGUUAUGUUUUGCUUAGGCAAAGUGAUGGGCACAGCACGUCUCCGCUGUAUUAUUCCUUCACUGAAGAGCUCAACCGCAUCCUGGAGAAGAGGAAACACACUCAGCUGUGUAGCAAACCUGAUGAGAGUUCAGUAUAAAGAAAGAGAACUUUUUUCAACAGAAAAACAAAAUUGCGCCUUCUGUGGUCAGGAGGUUUGAUUACAAGUAUCUGCAGAAAUGUCAAAGGGCAACAGGAUGCUAAGUAAAGCAUGUAUUCCAAGGGUCUUAUAUUCUUGCCCCAUAGCAUUUUCAAUCCUGGCCUAUUGUUGGUCGAAGCAGCCAAGCUCAGCAGCUUUCAAUGUUUGUGAAAACCAGGCACAGAACAAAAGUUGUGACUGACACAAUGGAUAAUCUACCUCGAAAGAACAUUUUAUGAAUUUUGGAUGUGUGACAUUUUGUCAAUAGGUUCUGAGGCUGGUGAGUCCAGAGCAACAGGACUGGAUCAUUGCUUUUAUUUUUGCAGAAAAGUCUGGCUUUGUGGCAAAAGCACUAUGUGAAAAACAGCCUCAUGGAAUAUUUCUUCUCUUUGGAUGAAAGGACUGCUUCUGGGAGCCUGUACAUUUCCAUACAAACAUUUUUUCUGGACGUGGCUGCUUUUGAGCAACACUGCUGAAGGCAGUUCAGUGCCAUAAAAUGAUUUUGUUUUGUUGUGAUGCUGUUAUUUAUGUCAACACUGACCACACCAGUGACCCAUCAAAUAACCUGAACUAACAGAUACACUGCGCUUAUUGUAGCAGUGAAUGCUGAAAGGGACUAAUUUUGUGAAUCAAGCUUUUAUAGCUAAUGUUUGAUAAAAUGUGAGGAUGACAGUAUUAACUACUGGGAUGCACUUUAGUAGCAAUGAGCAUUAACCAGAAACGGUGCUUGUUCUGAAAGAGGUGAGAAAGAGAAUGUUAUGGAUCAAAAUAGAAAAAAAACAACGGACAGAUCCGUCCUAACCCUGUCACUGAACCAUAAACCACAAGUAAUUACUUUAAUUAAUACUAAGACAUACUAACCACUAUGCUUUCAGUAAUGAACCACUACAUGUUUAUUUUUUUGCCAGAUACAAUUAAAAAAGUUCCCAACCCAGAUUUAAAGAAACAUAACGGUAAAUUAUGAAUGAAUUGAGUACAUCAGAAGUUCAGACCCAUUCUGCGUGUCUGACUCAGUUUCGUGUUUGUUAACUCAAGGCUUGAUUGUUAGAUGUUUGUACAGACACAGCAUUAAGACUCCCCUCCCCGACCUCACUGAAGCUCCAGAAAUGUCUGCUUGCCGGAUCGACAUGACAUCAUAGCAGCAGAGGUCUGAAAAGGGCAGUUUGGUGCAGGUUCAUGCUUCACCUCAUGUGCCAUUUAAAGUGAAAGGUCAGCAAGCCUGCUUCAGCUCAUCUCUGAGAGGAGUGACACAGUAGUUUCUUCAAAUCUGCAGAUCUGAGUGCCUAGGCUGUGAACGCAAGCACAAAAAGUCACAAAAUAACUGGAUGAAGAUUUUGCAAGUUUUUGUUUCCUCUUUCUGCUAAAGGCAUUCCCUACAGGCAGACUUUGCACCUGUACAGUGGGUGUCAAGCUGUGGUUUAGUAUUUAUUUCAGAGUAAUUUACAAUAUUGUUUUUUAAUAUUUAUUUUAUUUUGUAGUUUUUCUUUAAUAUUGCAUGUGCAAGAAAUACUUUUUUCUUUAGUUUUUUUUCACUUACACAAAAUGUUGCUUUUGUUUCCAGUGCUGAAAACAUAAAUGUACACAAUAUGGGGCAAUUAAAGCAUCUUAAAUCCACA
Molecule: RNA transcript, 4583 nt
Organism: Astyanax mexicanus (Mexican tetra)
Lineage: Eukaryota; Metazoa; Chordata; Actinopteri; Characiformes; Acestrorhamphidae
Gene: sema4ga
Gene name: sema domain, immunoglobulin domain (Ig), transmembrane domain (TM) and short cytoplasmic domain, (semaphorin) 4Ga
Exons: 16
Source: RefSeq, a predicted model, not a curated record